GGGGUUAUAGCUCAGUUGGUAGAGCACUGCAAUGGCAUUGCAGGUGUCACCGGUUCGAGUCCGGUUAGCUCCA
Molecule: transfer RNA, 73 nt
Filed under: Geminocystis sp. NIES-3708
Lineage: Bacteria; Bacillati; Cyanobacteriota; Cyanophyceae; Chroococcales; Geminocystaceae
Rfam family: tRNA
About the family: Transfer RNA (tRNA) molecules are approximately 80 nucleotides in length. Their secondary structure includes four short double-helical elements and three loops (D, anti-codon, and T loops). Further hydrogen bonds mediate the characteristic L-shaped molecular structure. tRNAs have two regions of fundamental functional importance: the anti-codon, which is responsible for specific mRNA codon recognition, and the 3' end, to which the tRNAs corresponding amino acid is attached (by aminoacyl-tRNA synthetases). tRNAs cope with the degeneracy of the genetic code in two manners: having more than one tRNA (with a specific anti-codon) for a particular amino acid; and 'wobble' base-pairing, i.e. permitting non-standard base-pairing at the 3rd anti-codon position.
Source: Rfam by way of RNAcentral